AAGGCGCGCGUGUUUAAUGUGUUUCAUGAGGCAGCCAAACCCUAGUUUUAUUUUCCAAAGGAAUUAUAUUUUUUGGAAAAUAUAUUUUUGCGGUUUCAAAAAUAUAACUAUUAUUUUCAAAAAUAUAUCUCUGCUGCCGCAAUUCUAGAAGCCCUAAUUUUGUCUUGAAGCCCAAGUCGUUCUACUGCUAUAAAUACGAAGGCAAGCAUAUGGUUUCAAGCAUCUAAAAUCGAGUCUUACAAAGCG
This 246-nucleotide long non-coding RNA is filed under the name Trifolium pratense (red clover). RNAcentral describes it as "long non-coding RNA (TPRA_LNC004364)". Lineage: Eukaryota; Viridiplantae; Streptophyta; Magnoliopsida; Fabales; Fabaceae. The record is from RNAcentral.